GUGAAUCAUCAAAUUUUUGAGCGCAAAUUGCACUUUCUGGUAUUCCGGAAAGUAUGCCUGUUUGAGGGUCAGUUAAAUAAAAAUCGGUGUUAUUGCUGCCUUUCGUGGUGACGCGUCGGAUUUGAGUCGUCUUACCUUCGGUUAAGUGACUUAAAAUUUUUGCAUGAUUUUCGAACGUAUUUAAAUCGCUUACGUACGUUUGAGAUAUCGAAUGCUUAUUAGGUUCGUUCAUUCCCAGGAUUCGCGCCUAUAAUUUUUCAUUAAAUGACUUCAAAUCAGUUACGAAUACCCGUGG
This 295-nucleotide unclassified non-coding RNA is filed under the name Glomeraceae sp. Its description in RNAcentral is "partial contains 5.8S ribosomal RNA and internal transcribed spacer 2". The stretch from base 1 to 71 matches the Rfam family "5.8S ribosomal RNA", at positions 84 to 154 of the family's 154-position model. The record is from RNAcentral. Lineage: Eukaryota; Fungi; Glomeromycota; Glomeromycetes; Glomerales; Glomeraceae.